This 2804-nucleotide long non-coding RNA is filed under the name Homo sapiens (human). RNAcentral's name for it is "HSALNT0321601". Lineage: Eukaryota; Metazoa; Chordata; Mammalia; Primates; Hominidae. The record is from RNAcentral.
UUGACAUGACCUCCUUGGAACAUUCAGACUGGUAAGAGAAAAGAAUUAAACAUCAAAUCUUCCCUCAGGGACUCCAGAUAAGAGCCCAGGCCAAAGGACACCUUGAUUUUGACCUUGUCAGACCUGGAGUUGAAAAACCAGCUGCACCCUUCUAGAAUUCUUACUUACAAAACUGGAGAUGUUACAAGACAAGAUGAUUUCACUGGAAGCUGAGUUUUGCCAGCUUUGGGGAAAUGCUGAUGCAGAACAUCAUUUAUUUAAGGCUGAUACUCAUGGAUAGAAGAGUCAAAGUGCGAAUAUAUGCACCCUUCUAUACGGAUUCUGCAGAAAGAUAUGCUUGGGUCAUGACUCAGGUGAAUUUCCUAUGAAACUUUGUCUUUGGUAAAGCAUCCCAUUCUUGGCUGUUCCAUAUAUAUAUAUAUGGGUAUAUUUCUUCCUCUUAAAGUGUACCUUCCCUGGAGCUUCAGCCUAAUGCCUGAGGUCCUCAGUGAGGUCCCUCCAUUCUUCCUAUCUAAGCUGAAACUUCAACAUCUUCAGGAGUGUGUGACACCUGGUAUGUCUGCUCAGUUCUGAGCUCUGUAGUGACUCCACUGUUGUGUUUUGGAAAACUUGUCAUGUGCACAUGAAUAAUUUAAUCUUAGAUUAUUAAAUUAUUGACUUUAAUACCGCAUGCUUAACUAAGAUAAUUAACAUCAGAAUAUCAUCUAAGAUUUGUCUUCUUAAAAAUCAAGUUUUACCAGAAUCUUAAUAUGAAUUAUAAAAUUAAUGAUUUUAUUGGGACAGUUUUAGAGAUCUGAUACUUAUUUGUAAUUUGCAAAUAUUCUAAGAUGUUGGUCAUUAGAGAACAUAUAUGAAUAAGUGCAUGUGGUAGUUAGGAGAGUGGAAAUGAAUACAAACUAUUAAUGGGUUGUUGCAGAAUAUUCUGACCUUACUGAAUAAACACACAAUACAUAUGCGCACACAUUCAUAGAAUCAGAAAGUCAUGAAAAGGCUGAAUGUAAAACAAAGAGCAUGAGAGACCCAUGUUCUUAAAUUCUAUUAGUACUAAAACUUCCAGUUAACAUUGUAGAAACAUAUAUAUUAGAGAAUUAUGAAUAAACACAGUCCUUGACGUAUGCACAAUCUGAGUUGAUCAAAGGACACUGGCAGAAACAUUAAAAAACUGUGUAAGAUAUUUCACUGCAAUUUUAUAAAUUUCUUCAGUAUAGUAGUAGUGUUUUCCUACUCAUUACAGGAUCUGGGGCCAUCUGCUUUUAAAAUAAUACCUUGCACAUAAUGGGAGAUCUUUACAUAAAGUUUGAAUAAAUUAAGGAAGAAUUAAUUAGCAAGUCCAUUCCUGCUAUGUCAUUUAAGCAAUUUUUUAUUCAUCAAAACAUACUACUUCAAGCUAAUAUUAAAUGGUUUAUAUUCAUGAAACCAUGGGCUAUUACUUAAUUCCUAGAAUUUACCUGCAAAAAAUCAUUGAUUUAUACACUAUACAAGGUAAUAUUCUGGUUCAUUCUCUGGAACAAAUUGCAACUUAAUUGAAAAUAGUAUGAAAGCUAGUAAGUAUAAUUCAAGUGAAAAGCCUUAAAUUCCAUAAGAAUUAAGAACCUUUGGUAAUUAAUAUACCAAACUUUUGGUAUUUGAAAGUGAAAAGAUGUAUUCCUUUAAGAAAAAUAAUAAAGUUGUCAAGAUGAGGAAGAAUUAAACGUACGUAAUAUUGGGCCCUAAUAGAUGAGUGAUGAUAACAGAAAGUAACGUCAAUCAAGACAACAGAACAGUAUGGGGUGUUUUCAGGGAGUAUUAUUUAAUCAACCUGGCGUUCUAAUGAUAGUGACUAUGAAUUAGCAACCUUACUUUGCCCUAAUGUGAGUGGCUUAUUAGAAGAGGCUCAGGUCAGAAGUGGGAUACUAGUGAGCAAGCUGCUGCUAGAGGUAAUGAGGCAAGAAACAGGAUUUUAACAACAUUAGAGAUCUCGUUAAUUCAAACUAAUGGAAAAAAUUGCAGUAACAUAAAAUGUAAAUCUCUCCAACUUUUAAAUUUAUAAUUGGCAGAGAAGGAGAAGCUAUUGAAGAUCUUGAUGCUUUGAAACUGUAUGAGAGGUGUUGUUAUCAAAAGAACUAGCUAGGAGAAAAAAGAAAAUAUACGUUGAUGGUAGCUGUUGGAUUUAGUUCUGGUUUAAAGUAUUUAGACAUGAAUCUGAUCCUGGAUUUCAAAAGGACCUUUAUUGAAAAUGUCAAGUGACAAGAGAUAUUAAGAUGCAUAAGAUUGAACACUACAGCAUCUUCUUUCAAUAAUUUGAUUUACUCACCCUUAUUUAAAGAAUUGAAUCUUUCUGUUCUCAAGCCUCCUUUUCACCAAUUAAUUUGAUUCAGGACAAAAAGUGGUGUUUGAUAUUUUCAACUUUAAAAUAAGUCAAUUUUCCUGCACGCUUAAAUAUUCUGUUAUCUUGAAUUCUAAUGAAGGACCUAUAACUAUGUAUUUAAUAUUUGGUAAAUUUAUACAGAUGUAACAUAUUAUUGAAAUAAGAUUGUAUAAACUAAACAAGAAAAUAGACUGAAAAUAUUGUCUCAAAAAGAACAAUUCUUGCUAUGCUUUUCUUGUAUUUAUAUUUUAUUCAUGUAAGCUGUUUUCUAUCCUGGAAAUAUCAUCCUCCUACUCUCCACCUUCUUUUCACCCUUCACUCUUGUCUUUCAAUGCUCAGCUAAAAUUAAACUCCUCAAACAGGCUUUCAAAGCUCAGUGUAGAAUCAUCUGUUAUUUCCUGCUUCCUCAGUAUUAACUUUUUAUAUAUUAUAUGUCUUGUUAUAUGUAUAAAUGUUU